This 506-nucleotide ribosomal RNA is filed under the name uncultured bacterium. Its description in RNAcentral is "partial 16S ribosomal RNA". It matches the Rfam family "Bacterial small subunit ribosomal RNA", at positions 29 to 523 of the family's 1533-position model. The record is from RNAcentral.
AGUGAACGCUGGCGGUAGGCCUAACACAUGCAAGUCGAACGGCAGCACAGGAGAGCUUGCUCUCUGGGUGGCGAGUGGCGGACGGGUGAGGAAUACAUCGGAAUCUACUUUUUCGUGGGGGAUAACGUAGGGAAACUUACGCUAAUACCGCAUACGACCUACGGGUGAAAGCAGGGGACCUUCGGGCCUUGCGCGAUUGAAUGAGCCGAUGUCGGAUUAGCUAGUUGGCGGGGUAAAGGCCCACCAAGGCGACGAUCCGUAGCUGGUCUGGGAGGAUGAUCAGCCACACUGGAACUGAGACACGGUCCAGACUCCUACGGGAGGCGGCAGUGGGGAAUAUUGGACAAUGGGCGCAAGCCUGAUCCAGCCAUACCGCGUGGGUGAAGAAGGCCUUCGGGUUGUAAAGCCCUUUUGUUGGGAAAGAAAUCCAGCUGGCUAAUACCCGGUUGGGAUGACGGUACCCAAAGAAUAAGCACCGGCUAACCUCGUGCCGGCCGCCGCCGUAA